RNAcentral lists this ribosomal RNA (490 nucleotides) under uncultured bacterium. Its description in RNAcentral is "bacterial SSU rRNA". It matches the Rfam family "Bacterial small subunit ribosomal RNA", at positions 28 to 518 of the family's 1533-position model. The record is from RNAcentral.
GAUGAACGCUAGCGGCAGGCUUAACACAUGCAAGUCGAGGGGUAUAUGUCUUCGGAUAUAGAGACCGGCGCACGGGUGCGUAACGCGUAUGCAAUCUACCUUUUACAGGGGAAUAGCCCCAGAGAAAUUUGGAUUAAUGCCCCAUAGUAUAAUUGAAUGGCAUCAUUUAAUUAUUAAAGUCACAACGGUAAAAGAUGAGCAUGCGUCCCAUUAGUUAGUUGGUAAGGUAACGGCUUACCAAGACAAUGAUGGGUAGGGGUCCUGAGAGGGAGAUCCCCCACACUGGUACUGAGACACGGACCAGACUCCUACGGGAGGCAGCAGUGAGGAAUAUUGGACAAUGGGCGCAAGCCUGAUCCAGCCAUGCCGCGUGCAGGAUGACGGUCCUAUGGAUUGUAAACUGCUUUUGUACAGGAAGAAACACUACUUCGUGAAGUAGCUUGACGGUACUGUAAGAAUAAGGAUCGGCUAACUCCGUGCCAGCAGCCGG